CUACGGGGGGCUGCAGUGGGGAAUAUUGCACAAUGGGCGCAAGCCUGAUGCAGCCAUGCCGCGUGUAUGAAGAAGGCCUUCGGGUUGUAAAGUACUUUCAGCGGGGAGGAAGGGAGUAAAGUUAAUACCUUUGCUCAUUGACGUUACCCGCAGAAGAAGCACCGGCUAACUCCGGUGCAGCAGCCGCGGUAAUACGGAGGGUGCAAGCGUUAAUCGGAAUUACUGGGCGUAAAGCGCACGCAGGCGGUUUGUUAAGUCAGAUGUGAAAUCCCCGGGCUCAACCUGGGAACUGCAUCUGAUACUGGCAAGCUUGAGUCUCGUAGAGGGGGGUAGAAUUCCAGGUGUAGCGGUGAAAUGCGUAGAGAUCUGGAGGAAUACCGGUGGCGAAGGCGGCCCCCUGGACGAAGACUGACGCUCAGGUGCGAAAGCGUGGGGAGCAAACAGGAUUAGAUACCCCAGUAGUC
Molecule: ribosomal RNA, 464 nt
Filed under: uncultured bacterium
Lineage: Bacteria
Description: partial 16S ribosomal RNA
Rfam family: Bacterial small subunit ribosomal RNA
Source: RNAcentral